This 875-nucleotide ribosomal RNA is filed under the name Candidatus Zambryskibacteria bacterium RIFCSPLOWO2_02_FULL_38_13. RNAcentral's name for it is "bacterial LSU rRNA". It matches the Rfam family "Bacterial large subunit ribosomal RNA", at positions 1 to 857 of the family's 2925-position model. The record is from RNAcentral. Lineage: Bacteria; Candidatus Zambryskiibacteriota.
GAAAUUUAAGAGCGUAUGGUGGAUGCCUAGGCUAGAAAUAGCGAUGAAGGACGUGGCGUGGCGACGAUAUGCUUCGGGGAGGUGCCUAGCAACCUUUGAUCCGGAGAUUUCCGAAUGGGGAAACCCCUCGUGCUUGCACGAGACCCUGCACCGUAUGGUGCAGGGAGCGUACCCGGGGAAGUAAAACAUUUCAGUACCCGGAGGAAAAAAGACUAAUAAGUAUUCCGUAAGUAGCGGCGAGCGAAAUCGGAAAAGCCCAAACCUGUCACGGCGCAAGUCGGGAUGGGGGUUGUAAGACGUGAGCUUCAUGUUUACAUGAAGGAAGUUACAAAAUUAUUUGUUAAAAGAAGUUUCUGGAAAGAAACACCCCAGAGGGUAAUAGUCCCGUAUUUGAAAACAAAUAAUCUUUCUUGCUCAUGUUCUUGAGUACCUCGAGACACGAAAAGCUCGGGAGAAUCUGCCGGAACUAACCGGCAAGGCUAAAUAUAUUUCUAGACCGAUAGUGAACUAGUACCGUGAGGGAAAGGUGAAAAGUAGCCCGGUUAGGGCGGUGAAAUAGACCUGAAACCAUAUGUUUACAAGGAGUCGAAGAGGGCGCAAGUCCUCGACGGCGUGCCUAUUGAAGAAUGAGCCAACGAGUUAAUUUAUGCGGCUUGCCUAAGUGGUAUACCCACCGAGGCGUAGUGAAAGCGAGCGCGAAUAGCGCGAAAUUUUAUGUCGCAUAUAUUAGACCCGAAGCCAGGUGAGCUUGCCAUGGGCAGGGUGAAGUCUCGCGAAAGCGAGAUGGAGGCCCGAACCGGUUGGUCGUGCGAUUCCUUCGGAUGACCUGUGGUAAGGAGUGAAAAGCUAAUCGAACCUGGUAAUAGCUGGUUCUC